GUAGUCCUUGCCGUAAACGAUGUAUACUUGGUGUAGCCGGAAUCAACCCCGGUUGUGCCGGAGCUAACGCGUUAAGUAUACCGCCUGGGGAGUACAGUCGCAAGGCUGAAACCCAAAAGAAUUGACGGGGACCCGCACAAGCAGUGGAGCAUGUGGUUUAAUUCGAUGCAACGCGAAGAACCUUACCCAGGCUUGACAUGCAGUGGACAGCGCCAGAAAUGGCGCCUUCCUUCGGGACCGCUGCACAGGUGCUGCAUGGCUGUCGUCAGCUCGUGCCGUGAGGUGUUGGGUUAAGUCCCGCAACGAGCGCAACCCUUAUCGUUAGUUGCCAACAUUUUAGGUGGGAACUCUAGCGAGACUGCCCGGGUUAACCGGGA
This 377-nucleotide ribosomal RNA is filed under the name uncultured bacterium. RNAcentral describes it as "bacterial SSU rRNA". It matches the Rfam family "Bacterial small subunit ribosomal RNA", at positions 790 to 1167 of the family's 1533-position model. The record is from RNAcentral.